CCAGGGGAGGCUAAGUACCAUUUGGGAGUGUGGGGAAGGCAGCCUGAGGUUGAAACCAAAGCACAGAGAAGAGCAGAGCGUCCAGAAAGGCGGAGAACCGGCACCAAGGUCCUGACCAAACUCUGGACUUUCCAGUUGUGUGAGCAUUUGAGAACCACUGGACUAGAGGAAGAUCUGAAACUACUGACUGAGGAGUGAAAGAGCCUGGUGAUCCAAGAGCAGGACUGAAGUCCAAGUGAAGAUGAAGGUGAAUCGUGCAUCCCAGAUGUGCUGGGAGCGGCCAUGGAAGCGAUGGCCGUGGAAGGGGUAGAGUGCUAUGGAUUCAGCAACGAACUCUCCAGAACUGACAUCUCCUUCAACCGGUGUCCGUCUGUUCAACCUGAUGUCCCUAGUCUCCUGGUCAGUGCCGGGAGGGUGCAUUUCGGCUGCAACCUCAUUGAGGGCUCUAAACGUUUUUAAAUGCCCUCUUCUCUCACGGAAGUUGGGUAUUUAUUCUUUCCUGUUGCCAACCCUAAGAUGUCAUGCUUACUUUCUCUCAAGUUUCUUUAUAUUUCUGAAUUUCUAGAUUUCCUUUUUGGCGGAAUUUAGCCCAGAAUAACAGGGUUCCUUGUGAGCCUGUGAGUAACCCAAGCAAAGAAUUUCUCAAGCCUCUCUGAUAUACCCAAGCAAAAGCUGUGGCGUAGCUCAGUAAAGACAGGUGCAAUAAUAAAGAUGUUGAUAAAAUUC
This is a long non-coding RNA of Leopardus geoffroyi (Geoffroy's cat), 726 nucleotides long. RefSeq lists it as uncharacterized. The transcript is spliced from 2 exons. The record is from RefSeq and is a predicted model, not a curated record. NCBI's taxonomy places the organism in Eukaryota, Metazoa, Chordata, Mammalia, Carnivora, Felidae.